AAUUGUUUAUACAUAAAAGCAAACUAGUAUGCUAACAAAAAGAACAAAUGAAAACUGUAUAAACAUGAAAGAAACCCUGUUUCUUUUAGGAACAUAGAACUAAUGUAUCGAAAAAGAAGUGUUAGGACUCAAGUGUACCAUUGCAAAAAAUACAAGGCCAGUGGCACAAAAUCAAAAAAGGCUGGCAGUGAUGAAUUGGGCAAAUAAAGGAGAAAGAAAAUAAAGAGAGAAGGGUGUAUGAGAGAGCGAGAAGGAAGGAAGUUUUAGGGAAACACUUGGGAGAGAGUCUAGCUUCUCAAAAGCCAGACCAGGGGGAUUUGUUUAUUGUUCUAAUGUGUGUGGCUGUCUUUUGUAAAGAAGAGCAGUUGCUCAUACUGAUUGUAAAUACUGGGUGUCUAGCAAAUUGGUAUCAUAGCAGUAAGACUAGGGCAUGGUCUGGAGGAGAAUGGAAGGAAGGGUUGAAAAAGUGAAGAACCUAGAAAUGGUGAAAGAAAGGUUGACCAGUAUGGAUUCAAGGCUGGAAAACUUGGGCAGCAGCUUUGAAACAAUAACAGGUUAUUUGACGGAGCAUCUCCUCAAUGAAGACAUAGGAGGAGUGACAACAGAGGGAAAGCUUCAGUGGAGCAGCCCCUCUGCUGGCCAAAUUGAUUCCCAUGAGAGAGGCCACACUGCCUCCUCCAAAGAGACAAAAUGAGCAAGAGGCUGGGGAGAAUUUAGUAAUUAGGGUUGUAGCAUUUGGAGAAAGUUUAGAAACGGGACGAAAGGAUACACCUCACCAACGCUUAGAGAAGACCAAUUUGGUUGGAUAUUUAGGGCAGAACAAUAUGAAGACCUGUUUUUCAUGUAUCUCAAUUAGAUAAGCAAAUUGACCCAGCCAUAGUAAGUCAACCACUACCCAAUUGUCUGUAUAAUGAUGUUGAGCUUGAGUUGCAACCUACAAUGGUGAAGGACUUCACUAUUCUUCCCAAGGAGAGUUGGAGAAAUUGGUAAAGAGUCAACACAAGUCAGAUUGUGAAAAUUCUUGGGAGUGCUACUUGAGUUUAAGAAUCUCUUUCCUCAAUUUCAACUUGAGUACAACAUGCCUCUAGAUAGGUCGUGUAAUGUUAAAGACAUAUGUACCAUUGCAAAAAAUACAAGGUUGGUGAGGUUGAGGGCACAAAAGCAACUGAGGACCUAUUGAGGAGGGAAGAUGAUGUGGCUAGUGAUGAAUGGGGCAAUUUGAGGAGAAA
This is a long non-coding RNA of Mangifera indica (mango), 1229 nucleotides long. RefSeq lists it as uncharacterized. Lineage: Eukaryota; Viridiplantae; Streptophyta; Magnoliopsida; Sapindales; Anacardiaceae. The transcript has 2 exons. The record is from RefSeq and is a predicted model, not a curated record.